UACGGAGGGGGCCAGCGUUGUUCGGAAUCAUUGGGCGUAAAGGGCGUGUAGGCGGCUUUUCAAGUCGGGCGUGAAAUCUCCGGGCUUAACCUGGAAGGGUCGUUCGAUACUGUUGAGCUAGAGUGUGGAAGAGGCUACUGGAAUUCCGUGUGUAGCGGUGAAAUGCUUAGAUAUGACACAGAACACCGAUUGCGAAGGCAGCUCACAAAACUGUAACUGACGCUGAGGCACGAAAGCGUGGGUAUCAAACAGG
RNAcentral lists this ribosomal RNA (253 nucleotides) under uncultured bacterium. RNAcentral's name for it is "partial 16S ribosomal RNA". It matches the Rfam family "Bacterial small subunit ribosomal RNA", at positions 524 to 776 of the family's 1533-position model. The record is from RNAcentral.